Molecule: ribosomal RNA, 556 nt
Filed under: uncultured Magnetococcus sp.
Lineage: Bacteria; Pseudomonadati; Pseudomonadota; Magnetococcia; Magnetococcales; Magnetococcaceae
Description: bacterial SSU rRNA
Rfam family: Bacterial small subunit ribosomal RNA
Source: RNAcentral
CUGCGGGAGGCAGCAGKGGGAAUANUGCGCAAUGGGGGAAACCCUGACGCAGCGAUGCCGCGUGGGUGAAGAAGSCCUUCGGGUUGUAAASCCCUUCAGUGGGGAAGAUGGUGACGGUACCCACAGAAGAAGCUCCGGCUAACUCCGUGCCAGCAGCCGCGGUAAUACGGAGGGGGCGAGCGUUGUUCGGAAUUACUGGGCGUAAAGGGCGCGUAGGCGGUGUGGCAAGUCAGGAGUGAAAAUUCCAGGCUCAACCUGGAACCUGCUUUUGAAACUGCGACACUGGAGUCCGGCAGAGGGUGGUGGAAUUCCCCGUGUAGAGGUGAAAUUCGUAGAUAUGGGGAGGAAGACCGGAGGCGAAGGCGGCCACCUGGACCGGUACUGACGCUGAGGCGCGAAAGCGUGGGGAGCAAACAGGAUUAGAUACCCUGGUAGUCCACGCUGUAAACGAUGAGUGCUGGUUAUCGCGGGUAUUGACCCCUGCGGUAACGGAGCUAACGCGUUAAGCACUCCGCCUGGGGAGUACGGCCGCAAGGCUAAACUCAAGGAAUUGACG